UAUAUCCCGUCCCCAAAUUCGGACCUCAUAUCCCGAACUUCAUAUCCCAUCCUUAUAUUCCGUCCUCAUAUCCCAACCUCAUAUCCCGUCCUCAUAUCCUGACCUUAUAUCCCAUCCUCAUAUCCUGAUCUUAUAUCCCGUCCUCAUAUCCCAACCUCAUAUCCCGUCCUCAUAUCCUGAACUUAUAUCCCGUCCUCAUGUCCUGACCUUAUAUCCCAUCCUCAUAUCCUGACCUUAUAUCCCAUCAUCAUAUCCCAACCUCAUAUCCCGUCCUCAUAUCCUGAACUUAUAUCCCGUCCUCAUAUCCUGACCUUAUAUCCUAUCCUCAUAUCCUGAACUUAAAUCCCGUCCUCAUGUCCUGACGUUAUAUUGCGUCCUGACCUCAUAUCUCGACCUUAUAUACCGUCCUCAUAUCCUGACCUUAUAUCCCGUCCUCAUAUCCCGACCUUAUAUCCCGUCCUUAUAUCCUGAUCUUAUAUCCAGUCCUCACAUCCUGACCUCAUAUCCCUUCCUUAUAUCCCGACCUCACGUCCUGUCCUCACAUCCUGACCUCAUAUCCUGUCCUCAUAUCCUGACCUCAUAUCCCGUCCCCAAAUUCGGACCUCAUAUCCUGACAUCAUAUCCCGUCCUCAUAUCCCAACCUCAUAUCCCGUCCUCAUAUCCUGACCUUAUAUCCCGUCCUUACGUCCUGACCUCCUAUCUCGACCUUAUAUACCGUCCUCAUAUCCCGACCUUGUAUCCCGUCCUCAUAUCCUGACCUUAUAUCCCGUCCUCAUGUCCUGACCUUAUAUCCCAUCCUCAUGUCCUGACCUUAUAUCCCGUCCUCAUGUCCUGACCUUAUAUCCCGUCCUCAUAUCCUGUCCUCAUAUCCUGACCUCAUAUCCCGUCCUCAUAUCCUGACCUUAUAUCCCGUCCUCAUGUCCUGACCUUAUAUCCCGUCUUCAUGUCCUGACCUUAUGUCCCGUCCUCAUAUCCCGUCCUCAUGUCCUGACCUUAUAUCCCGUCCUCAUAUCCCGUCCUCAUAUCCCGACCUUAUAUCCCGUCCUCAUGUCCUGACCUUAUAUUCCGUCCUCAUGUCCUGACCUUAUAUCCCGUCCUCAUGUCCUGACCUUAUAUCCCGUCCUCAUGUCCUGACCUUACAUCCCGUCCUCAUGUCCUGACCUUAUAUCUCGUCCUCAUGUCCUGACCUUAUAUCCCGUCCUCAUGUCCUGACCUUAUAUCCCGUCCUCAUAUCCCGUCCUUAUAUCCCGUCCUCAUGUCCUGACCUUAUAUCCCGUCCUUAUAUCCUGACCACAUGUCCUAACCUCAUGUCCAUCCUCCUCACUGACUAAAACCAAAGUCAGUGUUACCAAUAAGACCACUGCACAAUAACCACAAAUUUCCAUCAUAUAGUGACUAUUAUGCCCUAUUAUUCUCAGGGCUCAAGUCCUGCAGGAACACAUGGGAGCUGAGUUCCUGCACUUUUUCCACAGCAGGAACACCAUUCCCAUUAGAAGGAUUCCUGCAAGACUGGCCCUUGAGUAGAAAACUUGGGUUUCAACACAGGAUCCUCUGCUGAUAAUCUUUAUAACUGACCGAUCAACCAUGAAGAGAGACAGGAACAAGAUGGCCGACAAGAUCAUAAACCUCACUCUACAGAUACUCUUCCGGCUUACUGGAGAGGAUUACACAGUAGUGAAGAAGUCCUCUAGUGGGCGCUGUCGGGCCCCUGUGUGUGAAGAAUGGGAAAGAACCCUGAGUCCAAUCCCGGGGCCCCCACCUCACUCCCUGAUACAUGAGGAAAUGGAUGAACAGAAGAUCCUAGAACUGAUCAACAAGAUGAUGGA
Molecule: long non-coding RNA, 1826 nt
Organism: Hyla sarda
Lineage: Eukaryota; Metazoa; Chordata; Amphibia; Anura; Hylidae
Exons: 3
Source: RefSeq, a predicted model, not a curated record